RNAcentral lists this transfer RNA (69 nucleotides) under Ovis aries (sheep). It matches the Rfam family "tRNA". From Rfam's summary of the family: Transfer RNA (tRNA) molecules are approximately 80 nucleotides in length. Their secondary structure includes four short double-helical elements and three loops (D, anti-codon, and T loops). The record is from Rfam by way of RNAcentral. Lineage: Eukaryota; Metazoa; Chordata; Mammalia; Artiodactyla; Bovidae.
CCUGGUGGCUUAGCUGGUAAAGAAUCUGCCUGCAAUUCAGGAAACCUGGGUUCGAUCCCAGGGUCAGGA